Molecule: ribosomal RNA, 1234 nt
Filed under: Enterobacter cloacae
Lineage: Bacteria; Pseudomonadati; Pseudomonadota; Gammaproteobacteria; Enterobacterales; Enterobacteriaceae
Description: bacterial SSU rRNA
Rfam family: Bacterial small subunit ribosomal RNA
Source: RNAcentral
CGAGUGGCGGACGGGUGAGUAAUGUCUGGGAAACUGCCUGAUGGAGGGGGAUAACUACUGGAAACGGUAGCUAAUACCGCAUAACGUCGCAAGACCAAAGAGGGGGACCUUCGGGCCUCUUGCCAUCAGAUGUGCCCAGAUGGGAUUAGCUAGUAGGUGGGGUAACGGCUCACCUAGGCGACGAUCCCUAGCUGGUCUGAGAGGAUGACCAGCCACACUGGAACUGAGACACGGUCCAGACUCCUACGGGAGGCAGCAGUGGGGAAUAUUGCACAAUGGGCGCAAGCCUGAUGCAGCCAUGCCGCGUGUAUGAAGAAGGCCUUCGGGUUGUAAAGUACUUUCAGCGGGGAGGAAGGUGUUGUGGUUAAUAACCGCAGCAAUUGACGUUACCCGCAGAAGAAGCACCGGCUAACUCCGUGCCAGCAGCCGCGGUAAUACGGAGGGUGCAAGCGUUAAUCGGAAUUACUGGGCGUAAAGCGCACGCAGGCGGUCUGUCAAGUCGGAUGUGAAAUCCCCGGGCUCAACCUGGGAACUGCAUUCGAAACUGGCAGGCUAGAGUCUUGUAGAGGGGGGUAGAAUUCCAGGUGUAGCGGUGAAAUGCGUAGAGAUCUGGAGGAAUACCGGUGGCGAAGGCGGCCCCCUGGACAAAGACUGACGCUCAGGUGCGAAAGCGUGGGGAGCAAACAGGAUUAGAUACCUGGUAGUCCACGCCGUAAACGAUGUCGACUUGGAGGUUGUGCCCUUGAGGCGUGCUUCCGGAGCUAACGCGUUAAGUCGACCGCCUGGGGAGUACGGCCGCAAGGUUAAAACUCAAAUGAAUUGACGGGGGCCCGCACAAGCGGUGGAGCAUGUGGUUUAAUUCGAUGCAACGCGAAGAACCUUUACCUACUCUUGACAUCCAGAGAACUUUCCAGAGAUGGAUUGGUGCCUUCGGGAACUCUGAGACAGGUGGCUGCAUGGCUGUCGUCAGCUCGUGUUGUGAAAUGUUGGGUUAAGUCCCGCAACGAGCGCAACCCUUAUCCUUUGUUGCCAGCGGUUAGGCCGGGAACUCAAAGGAGACUGCCAGUGAUAAACUGGAGGAAGGUGGGGAUGACGUCAAGUCAUCAUGGCCCUUACGAGUAGGGCUACACACGUGCUACAAUGGCGCAUACAAAGAGAAGCGACCUCGCGAGAGCAAGCGGACCUCAUAAAGUGCGUCGUAGUCCGGAUUGGAGUCUGCAACUCGACUCCAUGA